CACGCUCGGAUGAAGACGUCGGCAGUUGAUGAUGGACUACUAGCCAAGCCAUAGGGGCAUGGCUGGGUCAGCCGCCUACUCACUAAUACAACGGUAUACUCGUAUGAGCACGCGCCGAGCUGCAGUCUGUCCAGUGACAAGACAGCUAGCGCGUCAAGCACGCGCUGAACUAGGCAAUAAAAGAGAAAUUGUUAUUCUCACAAAGGUACACACAACCUUGCUAUCAGAACAUACAUACACUUUCUUUCUCUAGAUUUUCGG
RNAcentral lists this long non-coding RNA (261 nucleotides) under Actinidia chinensis (golden kiwifruit). RNAcentral describes it as "long non-coding RNA (ACHI_LNC004339)". Lineage: Eukaryota; Viridiplantae; Streptophyta; Magnoliopsida; Ericales; Actinidiaceae. The record is from RNAcentral.